RNAcentral lists this ribosomal RNA (863 nucleotides) under Agrocybe chaxingu. RNAcentral's name for it is "partial large subunit ribosomal RNA". It matches the Rfam family "Eukaryotic large subunit ribosomal RNA", at positions 64 to 895 of the family's 3401-position model. Lineage: Eukaryota; Fungi; Basidiomycota; Agaricomycetes; Agaricales; Agrocybaceae. The record is from RNAcentral.
ACUAACAGGAUUCCCCUAGUAACUGCGAGUGAAGCGGGAAAAGCUCAAAUUUGAAAUCUGGCGGUCCUUUGCGGCCGUCCGAGUUGUAAUCUAGAGAAGUGCUACCCGCGCUGGACCGUGUACAAGUCUCCUGGAAUGGAGCGUCACAGAGGGUGAGAAUCCCGUCUUUGACACGGACUGCCAGGGCUUAUGUGGUGCGCUCUCGAAGAGUCGAGUUGUUUGGGAAUGCAGCUCUAAAUGGGUGGUAAAUUCCAUCUAAAGCUAAAUACAGGCGAGAGACCGAUAGCGAACAAGUACCGUGAGGGAAAGAUGAAAAGAACUUUGGAAAGAGAGUUAAACAGUACGUGAAAUUGCUGAAAGGGAAACGUUUGAAGUCAGUCGCGUUGGCUGGGGAUCAACCUUGCUCUUGCAGGGCGCACUCUCUGGCUCGACGGGUCAGCAUCAGUUUCGGCCGCUGGAGAAAGGCUAGGGGAAUGUGGCAUCGCUUCGGUGAUGUGUUAUAGCCCUUGGUCGUAUGCAGCGGCUGGGACUGAGGAACUCAGCCUGCCCUUAACUGGGCCGGGUCUUUUUGACCACGCUUAACGGGCUUAGGAUGCUGGCAUAAUGGCUUUAAGCGACCCGUCUUGAAACACGGACCAAGGAGUCUAACAUGCUUGCGAGUGUUUGGGUGGAAAACCCGAGCGCGUAAUGAAAGUGAAAGUUGGGAACCCUGUCGUGGGGUGCACCGACGCCCGGACCAGACCUUCUUGCGACGGCUCCGCGGUAGAGCAGGCAUGUUGGGACCCGAAAGAUGGUGAACUAUGCCUGAAUAGGGUGAAGCCAGAGGAAACUCUGGUGGAGGCUCGUAGCGAUUCUGACGUGCC